GAUCGAGCAACGGAGCAAAGUGCAUCCACAGUGAAAAACCCACCUGGGCCGGCUGAGGCAAUGAGUAGAUCGGCAGCUGUGAUUGGGGGAGUGGUCAUGUCGAACACCAUGUGGGCCGAGAGGCCUAAGUGGGAAAGGCGCAUGCACAAGGCCUUCACCAUUAGGCCCUCUCGGCCAACCCCAUAGAGGAAGACGCGGCCGUUUCGAGCGGCGGUGGAAGAGAGCUCGGUGACCAAAAGGUCGAGGACCGGCGGGUACGGGUGGGUCGGCACGGUGAAGAUAGAGGCUAAGUGGCUGCAAAUUUGGAAAGCAAGCUCUGAAGCCAUUGGUCUCAG
This 335-nucleotide long non-coding RNA is filed under the name Malus domestica (apple). Its description in RNAcentral is "long non-coding RNA (MDOM_LNC001191)". Lineage: Eukaryota; Viridiplantae; Streptophyta; Magnoliopsida; Rosales; Rosaceae. The record is from RNAcentral.